Molecule: long non-coding RNA, 355 nt
Filed under: Vitis vinifera (wine grape)
Lineage: Eukaryota; Viridiplantae; Streptophyta; Magnoliopsida; Vitales; Vitaceae
Description: long non-coding RNA (VVIN_LNC004979)
Source: RNAcentral
AGGUGUUGAUGGAAGAUUGAGCUUUUGAUUGGCGCUCUUCUAUUAGAUUAAGGCUGUUUAUAUUUAUUUGGGCAAUAGUUAUUUGGUGUAAUGGUGGUUUAAAAAUUUGGAAUUUAAAGAUGGAAAAGAGGGGUGAAUGUGAAUUGACUUCAUUGGGGGAAGAUGUUUGCUUCCCAUGGGAGACAAUGAAUUUCUUUCAACAAUUUUUCCAUUGCAUGGUGCCAAUCUACAGUAGUGAAAAUAGAUUCCAACAUUAAAAAAAAUACGAAAAACCUUUGUUUUCUUGAAAGAACCUAAUCGAGUUAUUUUUUAAUUAGCAAGGAGGUAUUAUAUGUUUUCCUCUAUUAACUUUCUU